AGUGAACGCUGGCGGCAGGCCUAAUACAUGCAAGUCGAACGGCAGCACAGCAGAGCUUGCUCUGUGGGUGGCGAGUGGCGGACGGGUGAGGAAUGCAUGGGAAUCUGCCCAGUCGUGGGGGAUAACGUAGGGAAACUUACGCUAAUACCGCAUGCGCCCUUCGGGGGAAAGCCGGGGACCUUCGGGCCUGGCGCGAUUGGAUGAGCCCAUGUCGGAUUAGCUAGUUGGCGGGGUAAUGGCCCACCAAGGCGACGAUCCGUAGCUGGUCUGAGAGGAUGAUCAGCCACACUGGAACUGAGACACGGUCCAGACUCCUACGGGAGGCAGCAGUAGGGAAUAUUGGACAAUGGGCGCAAGCCUGAUCCAGCCAUGCCGCGUGCAGGAUGAAGGCCUUCGGGUUGCAAACUGCUUUUGUACGGAACGAAACGGUGAGCUCUAAUAAAGCUUGCUAAUGACGUACGUAAGAAUAAGCACGGCUAACG
This 482-nucleotide ribosomal RNA is filed under the name uncultured bacterium. RNAcentral describes it as "bacterial SSU rRNA". It matches the Rfam family "Bacterial small subunit ribosomal RNA", at positions 29 to 502 of the family's 1533-position model. The record is from RNAcentral.